AUGGUGUUUACCUGCUCGAGGCUGCCGGAGGACCUCCGCUGGUGCUUCGAGGAGCUUGCAAAGAAUUACGCGGAAGCCCCCAGUCUGAAGGUGCGGCUCUGUGUCAUAAAACAGGCUAUUGCUAUCCUGGAGGAGGAAUUCUGGUGGCUUGACUACCCGGGAGUGCAGACGCUUUUUGAGGGGCUCCAGGUAGUGCGGAGGGAUUUGGCACACGCUCUGCGCGCGGCGCCCGCCAGCGUCUCAUCAGCUGUUCCUGCUUCACCGGAGAGAGAGCCUGUCGUCGCUCAGUCAAGCCAAGCUCACGUUCCUGUCGCUGCUCAGUCAAGCCAAGCUCACGUUCCUGUCGCCGCUCAGUCAAGCCAAGCUCACGUUCCUGUUGCCGCUCAGUCGAGCCAAGCUCACUCUCCUGUUGCCACUCAGGCAGAUCCAGUCCCCGCUCCAGACGCCGCUCAGGCAGACCCUGCUCCCUCAGUUCCUGUUCCCGUCGGCCAAGUAGAGGUCGUUCCAGUCCCUGUUCCCGUCGGCCAAGUAGCGGCCGUUCUAGUUCCUGUCGGCUCCUCGGAGGAGGACGCCGUUCUAGUUCCUGUCGGCUCCUCGGAGGAGGACGCCGUUCUAGUUCCUGUCGGCUCCUCGGAGGAGGACGCCGUUCUAGUUCCUGUCGGCUCCUCGGAGGAGGACGCCGUUCUAGUUCCUGUCGGCUCCUCGGAGGAGGACGCCGCUCUAGUUCCUGUCGGCUCCUCGGAGGAGGAUGCCGCUCUAGUUCCUGCCACUGUCGGCUCCUCGGAGGCCGCAGUUCUAGUUCCUGCCACUGUCGGCUCCUCGGAGGCCGCAGUUCCCGACGAUCCCCAGGUGGGGGUCGGUCCCGCCGCAUCGCCUGUUGCAGCCCCUGCCGACCUCCCGGAGGAGGUCGGUCCAGCUCUGCCUCCUGCCGACCUCCCGGAGGAGGUCGGUCCAGCUCUGUCUCCUGCCACCCUCCCGGAGGAGGUGGUCGGCCCGCUCCUGGUCCCUGUGUUUUUUGGGCCAAUGUGUGCAGGUGCAGCUCCUGGUGGUCCGGUCCCGGCCACGCUCGUCUCAGCCCCUGGUGGUCCGGUCCCGGCCACGCUCGUCUCAGCCCCUGGUGGUCCGGUCCCGGCCACGCUCAUCUCAGCCCCUGGUGGUCCGGUCCCGGCCACGCUCAUCUCAGCUCCUGGUGGCCCGGUCCCGGCCACGCUCAUCUCAGCUCCUGGUGGUCCGGUCCCGGCCACGCUCGUCUCAGCCCCUGGUGGUCCGGUCCCGGCCACGCUCAUCUCAGCUCCUGGUGGUCCGGUCCCGGCAACGCCCGUCUCCGCUCCUGGUGGUCUGGCGCCUGCAGAAUCUGCAUCAGUUCCUGGUGGCCCGGCUCCGGCCGCGCCUGCAUUGGGUCCUGGUGGCCCGGCUCCGGCCGCGUCUGCAUCGGUUCCUGGUGGUCCGGCUCCGGCCAUGUCUCCACGUCUGCCUCCGUCCGUGGUCCCGGCUCCGUCUUCACGUCUGCCUCCGUCUCUGGUCCCGGCUUCGCCUCCACGUCAGGCCUCGUCUCCACGUCUGUCCUCGUCUCCGGUCCCGGCCUCGUCUCCACAUGUGUUCCUGUCUCUGGUUCCGGCUUCGUCUCCACGUCAGGCCUCGUCUCCACGUCUGUCCCCGUCGCUGUUCCCGGCUUUCCGCCGGCUCUCGCCUCACCUGCCUGACGGAGGGUCAGGUCCUUGGCGCAUCCUGUAG
This 1734-nucleotide long non-coding RNA is filed under the name Betta splendens (Siamese fighting fish). Its description in RNAcentral is "lncRNA (ENSBSLG00000010406.1)". The record is from RNAcentral. Lineage: Eukaryota; Metazoa; Chordata; Actinopteri; Anabantiformes; Osphronemidae.